GGGCGCGUAGCUCAGCGGCAGAGCGACUGACUUUUAAUCAGUUGGCCCGGGGUUCGACACCCUGCGCGCUCA
This 72-nucleotide transfer RNA is filed under the name Candidatus Hodgkinia cicadicola Dsem. Its description in RNAcentral is "tRNA-Lys (TTT) (tRNA-Lys-TTT-1-1)". It matches the Rfam family "tRNA". From Rfam's summary of the family: Transfer RNA (tRNA) molecules are approximately 80 nucleotides in length. Their secondary structure includes four short double-helical elements and three loops (D, anti-codon, and T loops). Further hydrogen bonds mediate the characteristic L-shaped molecular structure. tRNAs have two regions of fundamental functional importance: the anti-codon, which is responsible for specific mRNA codon recognition, and the 3' end, to which the tRNAs corresponding amino acid is attached (by aminoacyl-tRNA synthetases). tRNAs cope with the degeneracy of the genetic code in two manners: having more than one tRNA (with a specific anti-codon) for a particular amino acid; and 'wobble' base-pairing, i.e. permitting non-standard base-pairing at the 3rd anti-codon position. The record is from RNAcentral. Lineage: Bacteria; Pseudomonadati; Pseudomonadota; Alphaproteobacteria; Hyphomicrobiales.